AGAUUCAUUCCAGUUGGAGCUCCACUGGAGCCAACAGCUCUAGUUUUCUAAAUUGUUGUAUAAAUUUCAAAAUUUGUUCUGCUUUUUCUCUUUGUUUAUUUCUGUUGAGAGAAACAAAUAAAAUCAAAAAGUCCAAAAAUUCAAUUUGUUUCAAAGUUUCAAUGUUUCUAUUCAAUCAAUGUGAAAAUUUCAAAAAGUGUUGCAAAAUUACGUUCAGAAGCGGUUUGUAUGUUCGUGUGAAUGGGUGUGAACACAAUGAUGUUGUCACAGAUGCUCUUUGUACACGGCGCAAAAUUUUAAAUGCUCAAACAGAAGUCCAGAUCAAAAGUUUUACGCGUUUCUAUUUAUUUCUAACAACCAAAUAAUCGUAUUUCGUAACCAAGAAGGGAUUUGAUGUGAUUGUUUAUUUCACAAUUCUUAACUUUCAAUGUAUAUUCGCCCAGAGAAUCGGAAACUCUUGGAAUAGAUUGCCCAGUCAAGGGGUAAGUCCAUCCAGACAGAUCUCUCGAGCGAUCCCUCCGAUCCGUCUGGUAAUACUCCCCAUUCUGAGCACCUGCUCAUCUCGGGGAGAUGAGGACUCGUUGUCCUUUACAAUUUGCAAGACUCUCAAUGUUUGUCACAAGUUAUGUUCUGAUCAUUCAAUUCAACAACCAAAAAAUAAAUCAGAAAUUCAAAAUUGUAAUUCGAAAAGCAAUUCUCUAAGCUCGACUUUGAGCUUCAUCUGAACGGAAAAAAUCGUAACAAGAAAUUAAUAAAAAAUACAUGAAUCAUAUCGUCACGGAAGAAGGCGAGGCCAAGCAACUCUCGAUGCGGAAGAUUCUACUCGAAAUUUAAUUUUAACAGCUGGCCUAACU
Drosophila novamexicana is the source of this 854-nucleotide long non-coding RNA. RefSeq lists it as uncharacterized. NCBI's taxonomy places the organism in Eukaryota, Metazoa, Arthropoda, Insecta, Diptera, Drosophilidae. The record is from RefSeq and is a predicted model, not a curated record. The transcript is spliced from 5 exons.